CCUGCUGGCCUACAUUCUGGACGUGGCUGCUUGCUUGUUUCUUCGUGGCACCUUUGUUUUAUUUCUUCUCCCUCCCCCCAGCUUCUGGCGAUGCUCUGGUUUCUGGCUUCCUUCUGUCCCAGCACAGAGACGCACUGCUGCAGACAUGGCAAGAAGCACCCUGUACUGUAAAGGAGUCGCUCAAGCUGGGCCUCUAUAUCGCCCGAGCCCUUUCCUGCAAACACCCAACUCUCUGGGGACACAGGACCACCUUGUGCCACCAGCAGUAUGGCUCCACCACCUCCGAACAGCACCGUACUGAGGGCCACCCCUUUAACACGUGGGGCUGGAGGGGACACUCCAAACCCAAACGCCGAGAGCCAGCAGGUUCCUGGGAUCCAUGAGCAGAUGAACAAUCUCUGAUGCAUUCUCCUUCAAGUCUUCUGACUGUCAGGGUCUUGCUACACAGUUCAGGCUGGCCUUGAAGUCACU
Chinchilla lanigera (long-tailed chinchilla) is the source of this 471-nucleotide long non-coding RNA. RefSeq lists it as uncharacterized. The record is from RefSeq and is a predicted model, not a curated record. Lineage: Eukaryota; Metazoa; Chordata; Mammalia; Rodentia; Chinchillidae. The transcript has 4 exons.